This 250-nucleotide ribosomal RNA is filed under the name uncultured bacterium. RNAcentral describes it as "partial 16S ribosomal RNA". It matches the Rfam family "Bacterial small subunit ribosomal RNA", at positions 524 to 772 of the family's 1533-position model. The record is from RNAcentral.
UACAGAGGGUGCGAGCGUUAAUCGGAAUGACUGGGCGUAAAGGGCGCGUAGGUGGUGUAUUGAGUGGUCUGUGAAAGGCCCGGGCUCAACCUGGGAAGUGCAGACCAGCACGGAUAGACUAGAGUCGUAGAGAGGGGAGUAGAAUUUCCGGUGUAGCGGUGAAAUGCGUAGAGAUCGGAAGGAAUACCAAUGGCGAAGGCAGCUCUCUGGCUACAGACUGACACUGAGGCGCGAAAGCGUGGGGAGCAAA